ACCUACGGGAGGCAGCAGUGAGGAAUAUUGGUCAAUGGUCGGGAGACUGAACCAGCCAAGCCGCGUGAGGGAGGAAGGUACAGAGUAUAGUAAACCUCUUUUGUCAGGGAACAAAGGCGGGGACGUGUCCCCGGAUGAGUGUACCUGAAGAAAAAGCAUCGGCUAACUCCGUGCCAGCAGCCGCGGUAAUACGGAGGAUGCGAGCGUUAUCCGGAUUUAUUGGGUUUAAAGGGUGCGCAGGCGGUCUGUUAAGUCAGCGGUCAAAGCCCGGGGCUCAACCCCGGCCCGCCGUUGAAACUGGCAGG
This 305-nucleotide ribosomal RNA is filed under the name uncultured bacterium. Its description in RNAcentral is "bacterial SSU rRNA". It matches the Rfam family "Bacterial small subunit ribosomal RNA", at positions 337 to 640 of the family's 1533-position model. The record is from RNAcentral.